RNAcentral lists this microRNA precursor (58 nucleotides) under Blattella germanica (German cockroach). RNAcentral's name for it is "Bge-Mir-36_pre stem-loop". Lineage: Eukaryota; Metazoa; Arthropoda; Insecta; Blattodea; Blattellidae. The record is from RNAcentral.
AGUGGAUUCUUUCUUGGGAAUGAGAACAACAUAUCCAUCACCGGAAGGAAUCCACAGU